Long non-coding RNA from Sarcophilus harrisii (Tasmanian devil), 2755 nucleotides. RefSeq lists it as uncharacterized. The record is from RefSeq and is a predicted model, not a curated record. NCBI's taxonomy places the organism in Eukaryota, Metazoa, Chordata, Mammalia, Dasyuromorphia, Dasyuridae. The transcript has 2 exons.
AUCCCCCCAGCAGCUAUCUAUGGUUGGGUUCUUUCUCCUUUGCUUAUUCACUUUUUAUUUUAUUUUUAUUUUUAGUGACUUGUUUUUAUAAUCACCUCUAGUCCCAGGUAGUCAGGGAGAGUGCCUGUUAUUUUUUGAGCUUUGUCCAGGGCCCAGUCUCACUAUUCCAUGCUGGGAGUACUUUUGCUUCCUGAAGGCUCUUCAGUGUCUGCUCUGGAACCGAAACCAAGAACUCAGCAGUUCUAUAAGAGCCCUCACCAGGUGUGUACUGGUUUCUUCUCUUGGUAUCCAGAGCCCAAGAUGGGGCGUCAGCAGCACAGCUGGGCCUGGCAUCUGUCUUUGACAGAAGAGUCCUCAAUCUCCCCCUGCAAGUGUCUGACCCCCCACUGUCUGAGGUGGAACUUCCUGUGGUUGAGGCUGCCCCCCACCCCAGCUGUCGCAGCUGAGAUAAUCUAAAGAUUUCUUUGCUAUAAGUUAAAAGCAGAUCCCAGAAGUACACCAGGAGGGAGGAACCCUAAAGAUGGCAAGAUUGUAAACUGCUCAAAAGUCUUGUUCCAGAGACCAAGUCUUUACAAUAUCUAACUGGACAAGCAGAUAAGCUCAUGACUUAAAUGUCCAUUCAUUAGAACACUGAUGAGAAAGACAUGGACAGAAAAUUGGGGCAGACUUUUAGUUCAGAAACCAGUGGGAAGAGGUGUAAUAGCCUCAAAUCAAGGCAAUUUACUGGAGCCAUACUGAAGGUGGGGGUGAACUGAACAUCACACAUAGCUUCAACUUCACUGCUUUAGUGAACUAGAAUGAGAAUUCUCACAAUUGGGAAGUGUUUGCACUUAGGGGGUGUUUGCAUUUCACUCAGGCCAAACCUUUGUCCUGGGUCUAGCCGCAGUUCCCGUUGUCCCAGGAGGACUGCUUCUGGGCCCCAACUCUUGUUUGUUUUUGCUAUUCUACAUUUCCUGUGAGAUGCUAUUUUGUCUUUUUUAUGGAGGAAAUGUGGAGAGUUUGAAAUUUUCAGACCUAUUCUCCCAUCUUCCCAGAAUCCCCCCUAAAUCAUAGUUUAAAAGUCAUUGAUUCUAACCUCUCCUUUCACAGAUGAGAAACUGAAACCCCAAGAAGUCACCUUGUCUCAGGUCACAAUGUCUAAGAGUUGAACCCAGGUCUUCCUGACUAUGCCCAGUGCUCUGCCAACCGCACCAUGCCCUUUUGUUAUGAGAAAUUGCUUCACAAAGCACUCUAUAAAUACAAGCUAUUUUAAUUAUCCUUUUUCAAGUGAGGAAUGAUUCACAGUUGCAGUUUGGAGGGGCAAUCUAGUAUGAGCUAUGCUUGAAUAGAAGUCUCCCCUACAAUGCACCCUCCAAGUGAUCAUCUGUCUUUUGCCUAAGAACUGCCAUCUUUUGUCUGAAACCUCCACGAAAGGGAACUUGCAGCCUCUUAAGGCAAUCCUUUCUCCUUUCUGAGUACUGCAGCUCUAAUAAAAUUCCUCAGAAACUGUUCCUUCCAGCCCUUCUCUGAAGCUUCGAGGAUCAAAGAUUUAGAAUCAGAAAGCACUUCACUUCACAGAUGAAGAACUUGGCUGCAGAAAGAUUAGAUUCCCAAGAUCAUACAGGUCUGCAAAGCACAUUUGAUUACCAUAAUGACCCUAUGAGCUUAAAAGAGAAAUGAAUCAACAAAUUCACUGACCUCGGUUAAGAAGCCCUGCAUGAGAGGAAAGAUCUGAUGAGAGAAUAUAAUGGAACAGGGGAUUCAGUGAAGCCUUCUGGUCAAAAUCUCCAGGUCUGUUCUGGACCCAAGCUUAUUUGAUGCUGCCUCCAUCUGGGAGCUCAAGAAGCACAUCUCCAAACAGGAUUUCCUUGGAGCCACAGAUAUCACCCCUUUAAUAUCUAUUGAAAUGAGCUGUCCAGAAAUGCAGUUUGCGGUUGGCUGUUGAAGGUGUACAAACAGCGGUGCUAGGUUUGAGGGACCUGUAGAAACUCUGUUCAGGUAAGACAAGUUACAAGUUCAAAACCAGUGUUGCCACAUUUAAGUAGAUUAACUUGGACUUAAAACAUUGAUCUAUCUCUUCUGGGUCUGCCUUUUCUAGCCCUGAUCCUUCUGCUUCUGGUCCAAGGUUCUCUUACCCCCUGGCUCCCUGGUAAAUCUCCCUCUCAGAUCAAACCCCUUAGUCUCAUGUUGAAACUGUCCUCACAACAACAACUUUGGCCAGGGAAGGGACUCUGUUCUCCCUUCCACUCCUUAUCACUUACUGAUCCAUAUCUGUGGGCUUAGGGUUGCUCACAUUUAAAGUAUUUAAAUAUUUAAGAAUCCUCUGGCCAAUGCUGAACCGUUGCUUCAAUGUCAAGCCCUCCCACUUCAGAGUCUUCUGAUUGCUAGUACCUUGUAUUGAUUGUUAGUCCUGGAUAACGUUCCUUACCUGCCUUCCUCCUGUUCUGGAUAACUGCUGCCCGUUCAGCUACCUGAUUUCUCAUGUAACCAUAUCCACGCUGCUCUGCUACUGUCCGUGGUCCUGGACCUUACAGAUUCUUCUCAGUACCUAAUCCUCUUGUCACUCGGUUCCAAGGGAACAUGUCUAAUAGCCACUUUCUCAUUACAUUUGUUCAGAAGUCAGCCAGAAAGAGUUACACUUAGAAGUCUGAGUACAAGAAUGCACUAUUUCCAUGCUAUUAUUGCAUAAUUUGAAACUAUGCAAAGAAAAUGAUUAAAUGUUUAUUCCUUCUGAUCCAGUCAUUCCACUUCAAAGUAUUUGUUCUAAGGAUGUAAA